This 205-nucleotide microRNA precursor is filed under the name Oryza nivara. RNAcentral's name for it is "MIR812 microRNA precursor family". It matches the Rfam family "MIR812 microRNA precursor family". The record is from Rfam by way of RNAcentral. Lineage: Eukaryota; Viridiplantae; Streptophyta; Magnoliopsida; Poales; Poaceae.
AAAAAUUCAAACCCUGAUUUCCAUGUCUAACGUUUGACUAUCCGUCUUAUUUGAAAAAAUAUGAAAAAAAAUUAAAAAGACAAGUCACGUAUAAAAUAUUAAUCAUAUUUUAUCAUCUAACAACAAUAAAAAUACGAAUUAUAAAAAAAUUUCAUAUAAAACGGACAAUCAAAGUUGGACACAGAAAUCCAGAGUUUGUCUUUUU